AGGAAAGGUCGUCAAUCCUCUGUUUGAGAAGCGACCAAAGCAGUUUGGAAUUGGUGGUGCCCUUCCACCCAAGAAGGAUUUGACUAGAUUUGUCAAGUGGCCACAUGUUGUUCGUAUUCAGAGGCAAAGAAGGAUUCUGAAACAGCGUUUGAAGGUUCCUCCUGCCGUUAACCAGUUCACAAAAACACUUGACAAGAACCUUGGGAAGUUUUUCUUCCCUGUUCUAGAAAAGUUAGCAAACUCUGUACCCGAGGAUCCUGGAUGUCCAGGAUCAAAUUUAGCAUGCAUCGUUCUUAUAAACACGUUACCAAAACUGCAGAUGAUUUGUCUCCUGUGAAUUUGUGGUUUUAUUUUCUUCAUUUUGUAUUACAGCCACGCAACUUUUUAAGUUGUUGCUAAAAUAUAGACCUGAGGACAAGGUUGCUAAGAAGGAAAGGCUUCUUAAAAGAGCACAAGCUGCUGAAGAGGGGAGGACUGUGGAAUCAAAGAAGCCUAUUGUCGUUAAAUAUGGUCUUAACCAUGUAACUUAACUCAUUGAGCAGGUACGAAUGUUGGUCCUGCCUAACGAGUUGAACCUCUAGUACUUGAGGGUUGAGGCUUCACCUGGGCCGGGUUUGCAAUUAAAUCAAAUGAGGUGUCCCAGUUCGAGUCAACUCAUAAUUUUAUCCUUCUAUUUUAUUUUUUUUUGGAACACCAUCCUUUCAACUUUUUUUAUAUUGGGGAUUUCAUGUUGUCAUCUGACUUGGAUUGUGACAACAUGCACGGCAGAUUUGAUGCAUUAAUUUCUAAGGUUAUCUUAUAUUUUUCCUAAGACUCUACUUGUUGCAUGUAGAACAAGGCCUAGUUGGUGGUUAUCGCACAUGAUGUGGAUCCAAUUGAGCUUGUUGUCUGGUUGCCAGCAUUGUGCCGGAAAAUGGAAGUUCCUUGUGCAAUUGUGAAGGGCAAGUUUUUUCUAGGGGUGUUUAUUUUCAGUUUGGUUUGGUUUUUAUUAAAAAAAGUAACCAAACCGAAUUUUUUUUAAAAAAAACCAAACCGAAACCGGUUCAAACCGACCGGUUUCGGUUCGGUUCUGUUUUUUAGAACAAAAACCGGUUCAAACCGGUUUGGCUCGGUUUUUUCGGUUUGGCUAGGUUUUUUUCCGGUUUUUUUCUGUUCGGGUUCGUUCGGUUUUUUCGGUUCCAGGCUUAAAAACCGAACCGGUCGGUUUUUUAAAAUUUUAAUCGGUUUAAUCGGUUUUUUUCAAGGUUCGGUUUUUUCAAUUUUUUUUUCCGGUUUUCUCAGUUUAAUCAGUUUUUUGGUUUUUUUAAAUACCCCUAAUUUUUUCUAAUCUCUUCCAAUGUGUUAAAAGAUUGUGAAGGGCAACUCCAAACGGAUUCAUCAUUGGCUUCAAAAUUUAUAGUUGUAUCUCCGAGAUAGUUGUAACAAUUUACUUCACAAAUUUAACUAAUUUUUCGAUAAAUAAUUCAGUUACUACUCAAUUAAAUUUAAUCAAUUUAAAAUCUUAAUGAUUCAUGGUAGAAGUUGAGCACAGAGAAAUUUUGUAAAUUAAAUAAAAAUAGUUUUUUUAUUGUAAAAUUAUCUAUAUUUCCACUAUUCUAGAUAUAAUUCUGUAAGAGAUUCUUGACUUCCGAUUUUUCCUUUUUCAAUAAAUUUUUUUAAUAAUAUUUAGUUUCUGAAAAAAAUAAUUUUAUUCGUAUAAAAUGAACUAUAUAUAAACAAUAUUUUUCCGCUACACAUAAUAAAUAAAUUAAGAAGAGUUUGGGCAUAAUAAAUGAAACAAGUAGAAACUAGGACUAGACUUUGACGAGUAAACAACAAAGAUGACCAAAUUGAAAACAAAAAUAUUUUAGGGUUUGGGAGGCCUGUGGGCUUACCACCCUCUUCAGUCCACAUAACAGAAUGAAUUAUAAAAUAAAACCCUAAUUAUAAAAUCAGCCGCUUCAGCUGCGCUUCUAAGCUGUCACACUUCCUUCACAAACACAUCUAUCAGCGUUUCUUUCGAUCUCCUCUUCCACAUGGUGCGACAUUCACUUAAGUUCAUGCAUCCCCAUUUCAUAUUUUCAUCCAUGUAAUGUUUCUUGUGCUGUCUGGUUUCAUUUGUUUGGUAUGAAGUUGCUUUGUUUAUGAUGGGUUUGUUGAUUUCUGAGUGAAUGGAGACUCUAUCAGUUAGCCUCUCCAUUUGGGAUUGUUAUUUUAAGUGACCCCAGAUAGGUUUGCUGAAGUGAUGGAACUUUAGUGCUUUUGUUUGUCUAUUGAAUUGAAGUUUCAAUAUGACUGUAGAUGUUGGAUUCUUUAUGGUGAAUAUGAUAUGGCUUAGAAAUUGGGGAAUGAUCAGUUUUUUUAUGACAAUCCAGCAAUUGAUAGUUUCCCCGGAAAAGCAAUGAGUAUAUGCUUAAAGCUAUAUUAAAAGUGGGGCAGUAGAAGUUUCAAGAUGGACUGAGAAAAUGCAGUGUACUGGUUAGAAGUUUAGCUGGAAGCACUCGCUCACUAUUUUCGUUAUUUAGCUGCAUUUGUAUAUGUUUGUUUGAAUUAGUACUGUUAUUGUCACUUGUAUUUUGAAAUGUUGUGUCUAUUAAAUUUUCAUUGGAAAGUUUAUUUUUCAAUUUUUGAAUCAUUAGCUUGUUUGUGUAAUUUAUGACAGGCUCCCAAAAGAGGCGUGAAGGCCCCACUAGCAGCAAAGAAAAAACCUGUAUGCCUUUCUCUCUCUUUCUCUCUCUAUUGUAUGCACACAAACGCACAAAUAAGCAUUUGUUAGUGAAACAUUCAUUUCUUGAAAAUGCAAAUGGUUAUAGAUUAUGCCCAGUUCGUAGAACUUGCAUGUGAUGGAUUGUAAUUCUCUCCAAUGCACCAUGUCAAAAUUGGGCUUUGUGUGCUCUCCUCUUGCAACUAAAGGUGUUGUGCAUUUAUGUUGAUUAAUUACAGGAAAAGGUCGUAAAUCCUCUGUUUGAGAAGCGACCAAAGCAGUUUGGAAUUGGUGGUGCCCUUCCACCCAAGAAGGAUUUGACUAGAUUUGUCAAGUGGCCACAUGUUGUUCGUAUUCAGAGGCAAAGAAGGAUUCUGAAACAGCGUUUGAAGGUUCCUCCUGCUGUUAACCAGUUCACAAAAACACUUGACAAGAACCUUGGUAAGUUUCUCAUCCCUGUUCUAGAAAAACUGCAGAUGAUUUGUCUCAUGUUAAUUUGUGGUUUUAUUUUCUUCAUUUUGUAUUACAGCCACACAGCUUUUUAAGUUGUUGCUAAAAUAUAGACCUGAGGACAAGGCUGCUAAGAAGGAAAGGCUUCUUAAAAGAGCACAAGCUGCAGAAGAGGGGAAGACUGUGGAAUCAAAGAAGCCUAUUGUCGUUAAAUAUGGUCUUAACCAUGUAACUUACCUCAUUGAGCAGGUACGAAUGUUGGUUUCUAUGGCAUACUAUGUUAAAUAAUUAGGUAGCAAUAUUAGUUUGGAUGAUCUGGUACUUUGUUUAGGUAGCUUGAUUGAUCUAUAUAGGAAGAGUUCACUCAUAAAUGAGCUAUAACCAUAAUUAUCAAAACUGGCCCUGCCUAGCGAGUUGAUCCACUAGUACUCGAGGGUAGAGGCUUCACCUAGGCCAGGUUUGCAAUUAAACCAAAUGAGGAGUCCCAGUCCAUUGGUCGAGUCAACUCAUAAUUUGUAAGAAAGAUUUCAAAACCAUGUCUUUUUAGUGACCUUCCCCUUCAGCGGAUCAGACUUCAGGCCAGAUCUGAGUUAUGACUGUGUAGGAGAAGAUGACUUUCAAUUUGGUUGUUUUCACAUUUUCUUCUCCCACUCGGAUUCGUCUCAUUUCUUCUAGUUACUUGGCUGGAAGCUGCACAUUGUUUUUUAUCCUUCUAUUUUUUUUUUUUUUUUUUUCAACUCUUCUUUUUUAUAGAUUUCAUGUUGUCAUCUGACUUUGAUGUUGACAACAUGAAUGACAGAUUUGAUGCAUUAUGUCUAAGGUUAUCUUAUAUUUUUCCUAAUACUAUACUUGAUGCGUGUAGAACAAGGCCCAGUUGGUCGUUAUAGCUCAUGAUGUGGAUCCAAUUGAGCUUGUUGUCUGGUUGCCAGCUUUGUGCCGGAAAAUGGAGGUUCCUUAUGCAAUCGUGAAGGGCAAAUCACGUCUUGGAGCGGUAGUUUUUCCUAAUCUUUUCCUGUGCAGUAAAAGAUCCAUUGCUUUUUUUGGAAAACGAACCCUAUGGUAUCUACAUAUUUAUUUGAAUCUACUAUGUUUUUAAAAUAGAUUGUCCACAAGAAAACAGCAUCAGUUUUGUGCCUUACAUCAGUGAAGAAUGAGGAUAAAUUGGAGUUUAGCAAGGUUUUGGAGGCAGUCAAGGUAAUAUUUUUAAUGAGCAAUGACUACAAUACUAUGACAUAUCAUAUUAUGAUCGUGUCCUUGCUCUUUAUCCAGAGGUUAUCUCUGAAAUGUUCUUUUCAAAUCACAACCCUCUCAAAGAAAAAAAGUGUUUUUUAUUGGUAAUCCUCCUAGAAGAUAGCUUUUUGUUAUCAGGCUGAGGCAAUCAAUACUUGAUUUCCUCAUCCCACAGUGAACUGAGUUUGUCUAACAGUAAUGCUUAUGAUGUUUUGUGUGGUUUACUGAAUGAAAUGAUUUUUUCCUUUGAUGCAAUAUAUGUAAUCUUGUUACCUUUUUCUCGAAUUUCUGUUUUCUUUGCAUAUCUCAGUUUUGUUCCCUUCAACUGCAGGCUAACUUCAAUGACAAGUUUGAUGAGCACCGUAAGAAAUGGGGGGGUGGCAUCAUGGGUUCCAAAUCUCUGGCUAAGACCAAAGCUAAGGAGAGAGUCAUAGCUAAGGAGGCUGCACAAAGAAUGUCAUGAGCUUCUUCUAGCAAGCUAUUGAACAGAAGUUAUAGUCGAGAGGAACUUCCAUAGAUGUUCUUAAGCUCAUGCUUUUCCCCUUGGAUUGCACUUUAUGUUGUUACAGACAAGUUUUGUAUUGAUUCGGUAGUAGAAGUAUUUUAUCAUGAGCAAUAUUUAGAUAUUCAAUGGAAAGAAUGAAAACCAACAACCUCAGUUUCUCGUAAACUGAUUGAAUUUUUAUUGGUAUUUUAGCAUUUUGGUUGUGCAGUUCCGGAAAAUUUAUGUGGUCGUGGUUCAGGAAGCGCAAGGGCAGUUAUUGUCACAGAAAAAUGAUCGAGCUAAUACUUUUUCUGUAACCUUGCCCUUCGAAAACAAUGUUUUUGGUUCUGGGACGUCCUCUUUUUCGCUGAGAAUGCUCUCUUCGAAGAAUUUCUUUUUUUCAUAACCUACUAUUCGAUUUUAUGUCAUUUAUCUAAUAGUCAAUUAUAUAAUCAUUAGCAAGAUAUUAGUAGUAAUGCAUAAUUUACUGUGAAGAUAAUUGUAAUUUACUCGUAUCAGAUUCAGAUAUACAGCAGGUUUAAUUUGAGACCGCCACUCUUUUUCAAUGUAUUUUUUGUAGCUUUGUUCAACCCUCGGUUUCUUGAACUUCAUCCAGGCCAACGCUUAAAAGAUCAAAAAUCUACUUUAGCGGAAGAAAAAAAAUUCACCAAAGAUGAAUUUUCUUUUGCAGAGGUUUUAGCAAUAGUAGGAGGCAGGACAAGAAAUACAUUAAUUAUUUUACAUGCAAUGAAUCUCUAUAGACAUCAAGACAUCUUUUUUUCAUAGUAGCCCUGUUGCUAAAGCUAACUGGCUUAAGCAGCAAGGGUUUUAGAUAGAUGUUGAUAGAUGUUUUCAACUCGUUUUUCUAUGCCCAACUGCUUAAAAGACGUUUAUAUCUCAAUUUCUUAGAUACUCAUUGAUAGAGAAGAAUGUUUUAUAGCAUUUCCUGCAGUGCUAAAACACGUGGUUAAAUCCGCAGAUUCAGAUAAUAAAAGAAUGAGACACCAAGAUCAUCCAUAUUUAGAGUGUUUUUCUUUAAGAGGAAAAGCAUGAAAGCGCAGCGCACCUCACAAACCUCACAAACAAACAUAUUCGCUUGGCUUGGCAAUCUUCUAGGUUAUAUUUGCUACAUUUUGUUUCAUAUGGAUGUUAUUUUAAGUAUAAUUGUUUGUGUUAAGCUUGGUUCGGCAGGCUUCCAAGGUUAUAUUUUGUUUUAUACUUAGUUUCUUAUUUAUUUUCUGCCGACCAGCUUUUUAUGGAUUAUCUUAUAUGUGCAUUUGUCUGCUUUGUUGACACGGCAAAACAUCAGGAAUUGCAUCAACUCGUGCUAACGACAAUGUCGUUAAAUAAACACACUUUGUAAGCUCCGUUACAAUGUACGUACCGAUUGUAUGUUUAAACAUAUGUAAAAGAAAUUGUUGUUAACUUGAUACCUUGGACAUAACAAUGGAGGGCCAAGUACAGAUCCCAUCAGGAAAUGUUGAUACUAGCUUCUGCUUGGAUAUGGCAUUCCAUAUUUUUCUGAAAGAAGCUGACGGCGCAUCAAACUUUGUGUUCUCGCCUUUUUCGUUCCAUUGUAUGCUGAGCCUUAUUGCUGUAGGCUCAAGUGGGUCUACCCUGGAGCAGCUGCUUUCAUUUCUAAAACUGAAAAGCCUCGAUGAGCUGAAAUCUUUGGCUUCGCAGGCUAUCACUUCUGUAUUAUUGCCAUCAAACUGGAGCGAGGACCAAACCGGAAGUCCAAUCGUGUCAUUUGUCAAUGGUGCUUGGGUGGAUCUAAGUUAUCGUUUGAAGCCUUCCUUUCAGGAGGUGGUGAAAGGCGUUUACUGUGCUACAACCAAAGAGGUUGACUUUGUAAAUGAGGUAAUGUUGCAAUCACUUUCAUGCUUCUUUAUGCUAUUCUAGUAUUGAUUGUGGUAUGUCUUUGAUUUCGUCAAACCAUUGAAGAUCAUAAAGAAUAGCACUUUGAUAGAAUUGAAACUUCAGUAUCCACAUUUUGAUAGUAUAUCCUUGUGAGACAUGGCAAUUUUGGAUUUCUGGCAACUUAGAUGCCAGCUGAUUGAAAUUUGUAUCCAUCCGACUGACAAGUUUAAUUCAGGAGUUUUGUCAAAUCUGGAGGUGAUUUUACAAAGUUCUAUAUUUUGGCCAUGGAUAGCAACAUUUUUCUUCCCGCUGAUACUGGCAAUUGACACUAGAUCAUUUUCUUUGAAGGCUAAUCAAGUGUUGAAUGAUAUUAAUUCGUGGGUGGAGACUGAAACCAGAGGAAUCAUCAAAAACCUUCUCCCUUCGAAGUGUUUGGGCGAUGAUACAGCUUUAGUCCUUGCAAAUGCACUCUACUUCAAAGGAACAUGGGAUCGGAAAUUCGAUGCAUCAAAAACUAAAUAUAAUGACUUCCAUCUUCUUGGUGGACAGAUUGUUCAAGUUCCUUUCAUGACCAGCAAGAGAUACCAGAGACAUCUUUAUGGAUGCUUUGAUGGCUAUAAGAUUCUCAAAAUUCCCUACCAAAAUGGUCAAGACACCAGGCAAUUCUCCAUGUACUUCUUUCUUCCAGAAGCAACAGAUGCCUUGCACAGUCUGAUUCAAGUAUUCAAAUCCAGCCCUGAACUCUAUACUAUGCAAUUCAAGUUACGAGAAGAGGAUCUUCCUGAGUUUUGGAUUCCAAGAUUUAAGUUCUCAUUCAAGUUUGAAGCCUCAAAAACUAUGAAGGAAUUGGGACUGGAACUACCUUUCAAGGCUGUUGGAGAACUGUCGGAGAUGGUUGAUUCUGCUAAGUCCCUGUUCUUGUCAAAUGUAUUUCAUGCGUCCUGUAUUGAGGUUAAUGAAGAAGGCACGGAAGCAGCAGCUAGUACUGCUCCAAGAUUGAUUAGACAAAGUCGCCGGUUGAAUCCUCCAAGUUUUGUAGCUGACCAUCCUUUCUUAUUCUUGAUCAGGGAGGAGAAAUCGGGAAUGACACUCUUCAUCGGAGCUGUGAUCAACCCUCUCUUGGUGUCCUGAAAUGUAGCCAGGACAACGCUUCAGAAAAGAAGCUUCACCACUCUAAUUGGUAAAAAUAGUAUAUGGAUCUUGCUUUUCUAUCAAUUGCAGUAAACCGGUAUGGCGCAAUCUGUGAACUCAUUGCAAUUUCUGAAUGCUGCCAGGUGCAUUGCCUUGUUGUGGAUGGAAAUAUUACUUUGUUGAACCGCAAUUUCGUUGUAGAUAAUUCGGUAGUCUAUGAGAACAGCUUGUCUGAUAAACAGGCCACUUGAGCUCUCCAUUUUUUGUUUUAAAUUAUCAGAGGUUUUGGAAAUGUGAGUCUUGAGGUUCUACAUAUGAGAAAAUGUUCUUUACAUCUCAUAAACGAAACAACAACAACAACCCGACCAAUACUAUUUUAAGGUAUAUGAAAACACUUUCUAGAUUGGUGACAUCAAAACCAUGCCAUAACAUUCUCUGAUAUCUUGCCUUAGGCACUUCAACUGCAGAGAAUCGAUAAAUCUUAUCGGUACAACUAUGGUACGUCUGAUGCCCAUCCAGGAAUGGAUUCCAAAGGAUGGUAUGUCUUUUACGGAUCGCCAUGAUUGAAACUUGAUAUGCAAGGGUCCUGAUACUUCUCUGCACUUCCCACUUCCCAGAGGAUCUGCAAUGUCUGCUGAAGCUCUUCUGCUACUAAGCCGAUACUUCUGUAAUCAAUCAUAAGAACAUAUUCCAAAAAGAUUAGGAAAAAAGAACGUGCACUAUAAGACAAUAAAGAUCCUGCAAAAGCUUCGUGACAUGUUAGGUGCCAAAACGUGGAGAAAUCUGUGUGCAAUGCAAAGUUGCAAAUGGUUUCCUGAGGGAUAUAUCAAGAUUAAAGGCUCAUAUGUCGGUCCCAAUUCUCUACUGAAAGUAGUCUUUUAAUGAUAUGAAGGAAAUUUGAAUUGGAGAGGGCAGAGUGAGUGGAAACAAGGAGCAAUUCCACAGAAGUCUGACGAUUUUGAGCUCUUGAAAAUUGAAAUUCUCACAAGAACACCAGAAUAUUCAAAGUGGAAAUUGUUGAAAGUUAACCUCUAUUACCUGCAAACGGCUCUUUACUUUCGCCAGCCCUUCAACCUUCAUUACGUCUCUUAUAUGCUUUGGUGUAGCCACUUCAGAAAGGAAACAGAACAAAAUUACCCCAUUGUCAUCCUUCCUAAUUGAAAGGAGACCUUACUCAAAACUACAUGAUGAAACAAGAACAACAACUACCUGCUGUUCAUGAACAGUUCAAUGGAAGUGCGAAAUGUGAGAGCAUCUAUAGUAUUGAACAAUGAAUUCGCAUAUUCUUUUAUUUUAUUUAUUUUUUUUGUUAAUGUUAAUAUAUGAAAUUUAAGGAUUGAAUUUGAAUAACCCACCAAACUUAUUAUCCAUGAUACUAGAAUAACUUUAUAGAAGAAAAAUCAAAAUAAAUUAUGAAGCUAAAUCUCUGAUUAAAUCAAUAUUGAAUAAUAAAAUUAAAAAUAAUAAUUAAUUAAAUAAACCCUAAAUUAAUCCAAGUUAAUUUAUUUAACAAGCGACCCGAGAAUAACAUUAUAAAAAACAUAUUUAUAAAGUUCAAUUUUUAGCAAACCUAAUAUAUAUAUAUAAAAACAAGAAACAAUAAAGUGAAUCUAAAAGAUUAAGAUUUGAAAAAAAUCAAUUACUUAAUAAACUAAAAAGAAUCAAAGAAAAUGAGGUAUUACACUAGGAAAAAAGGUAAAGGAAACAGUAAACUUACAAAAGUAAAUUGCGUUAAAAUAAAGUACAAGAUUAUAUAUAAAUAAAAAACAAAUUGCAAAGCACAACAAAAAAAAAUACUAAAUAAAAAUAUAAAUUUUACUAUUACAAUAUUUUUUCUAAACAAUAAAAUAAAAUUUAGAAAUAAAAAUUCUUAUUGCUGAUUCCAAAUUUGCUAUCAUAUCAUAUCAUGUAGUUGCCAAAAUAUUUCUCAAAUUGUAAAUUAUUUUUUUUUAUUAUUAUUAAUAUUAAUAUCUAAGCCAGCUUGUAUAUAUCUUAACUAAUCCUAUAAAUUUUAAAAUUAAUAAUGAUGUAAAUCUUUAAUUAUCAUAUUAGUAAUCAAAAAUCAAAUUACAGAAAUAACAAACUCUUUCAUACGUAAUUAUCUAUUAAAUAUCUACUAAAUGAUUUGUAGAACUCUUGUCUUAACUUUACGGGGUUUGGCUUUCACCAACGUCAAAAGAUUGAAUGCCUCAGCAUUCGCAUCUCUUUGGGCAACGGCUGCAAACAUCCAUCUUAGUUCUUAUUGAUUAAAUUCUUGCAAUUUAGCCCAAUUACUCACAAUUAUUUUGAGGAUUUUAUUUUGGGUGUAAACAAUGCAUUGAAAGGAAAGUGUAGAGGUGUUUGUCGUCAUCUAGCUUCCACCAUUCUUUCAAACAAAAUUAUAGGUAACUUUAAGGUAAAUAUAUAGCUUUAUAUUCUUUGCUCUAGAUUAAUUGUUUUAUCAGCAUUUAUCUAUAGCUCAAUUAAAUUUAAUCAGUUUAAAAAUUAAUUGAUUCAAAUUAAAAGUUGAGCAUUUAGAAAUCUAUUUCAGAGUUUUUAAAGAUUAAGUAAAAAUAUGUUUUUUAUUAUAAAUUAUCUAUAUUUGUCACUGUUUUAGAUAUAAAUUUGAAAGAAUUCUUACUCUUGAUUUUUUUAAAAAGAUAAAUAUUUUUUGUAUAUAGAAUAUAAUUAGGAACUUAUGAAACUGGUAUAAAAAUGAUUUGAUAUAAACAAUAUUUUUUCAUUGCAUAAAAUCAAUAAAGAAAAACAAAAGAUAAAAGUAUAGUUUUCAGACCCAACCCGGUUCAAGGCCCGGGUUCCGAGUUUUAACCGGGUCACCGGGUCGCCUAGGUUAAUAAAAUCAAAACGACGCUAUUUUAGUUAAAAAAAAAACAAAAAUCAAUAAAUUACAACUAAAUUUUUAACCGAGUCAGUCAACCCGCCGGGUCAUACCAGAUUUUUUUUUUUUAACCCUAUCUCGUUUUAGUCCUGGGUUGGUCCAUCAGGCCGGAUUUUAAAACUAUAAAUAAAAAUUUGGGGCUACAAGAUAAAAACAAGUAGAAAAUAGGACUAAACUUUGGUAAGCAAACAACAAAGAUGACCCGAUUAGAAAAAGAAAUUAGGGCUUGGGAGGUCUAUGGGCUUACCUUCUUCAGUCCCACAUAACAUGGAGAAAAUAAAAACCCUAAUUAACAAACCAGCCGCUUCCGCUACGCUCCAGAGAGCUCUCACCCUUCCUUCACAGACACAUCUGCCAGUGUUCUUUCGAUCUCCUCUUCGACAUGGUAUGAUAUUCACUUCACUUCUUGCAUCCCCAUUUCAUAUUCUCGUCCAUAUAAUGAGUUUUUUUUUCUGUUUGGUUUCUUUUGUUUGGGAUAUAGUUUGCUAUUUUCAUGAUGGCUCUGUUGGUUUCUUAGUGAAUGGAGGACUCUAUCUGUUUUCUUCUUCAUUCGGGAUUUUUAUUUUAAGUUCCCCAUAUAGCUUAAAAACUUGUUGGAGUGAAGGAACUUUGGUGCUUUUGUUUUUUUUAUGUUGAAUUGAAGUUUUAACAUGACUUUAUAUGUAGGGCUCUUUAUAGUGGCAAUGAUUUGGUGAACGAUGACCAAUUUAUUGAUGAUAACUUGCAAUUGAUAGUUGCCCCUGAAAAGCAAUGAGUAUAUGCUUGAAGUUAUAUUAAAAGUUGAGCAGUAGAAGUUUCAAAGUGGACUGUGAGAAAAUGCAUUGUACUGGUUAUAAGUUAAGCUAAAAGUCCUAGCUCACUAACUUUGUUAUUUAGAUGGAUUUUCAAUAAAUUCAUUAUGUGGUUUUUGAGAAGUUGGAAUUAUGUAUGUGUAGAAUAGUUAUAUUUACAGACACUUGAUAUAUGUUAGGUUCUGCUGCUUUUUUCUGUGUUGUUUGAAUUAUUACUUUUAAUGCCCCGUAUAUAUUGAAAUGGUGUGUCUAUGAAAUUUUCAUUGAAAAGUUUGUAUUCUUGGAGUUUCUUUUCCCAGUUUUGAUUCACUAGCUUGUUUUAAUGUUGACGACAGGCUCCCAAAAGAGGUGUGAAGGCCCCGCUAGCAGCAAAGAAAAAACCUGUAUGUCUCUCUCUCUCUCUCUCUCUCUCUCUCUCUGGUAUGCACACACAAGCUUGUGUUAGUGAAACAAUAAAUUCUUGGGAAUUAAGGAUUCAAAUGUGUAUAGAUUAUUCCUACUUCUUUGAUCUUGCAUGUCUGCAUGUCAUGGAUCAUAAUUCCCCCCCUGUCAAUUUUGGCCUUUAUGUGCUUUACUUUUUCCACUAAAGUUUUGUGCAUUUAUGUUGAUUAAUUACAGGAAAAGGUUGUGAAUCCUUUGUUUGAGAAGCGACCAAAGCAGUUUGGAAUUGGUGGUGCCCUUCCACCCAAGAAGGAUUUGACUAGAUUUGUAAAGUGGCCACAUGUUGUUCGUAUUCAGAGGCAAAGAAGGAUUCUGAAACAGCGUUUGAAGGUCCCUCCUGCUGUUAACCAGUUCACAAAAACCCUUGACAAGAACCUUGGUAAGUUUUUCAUCCCUAUUUUAGAAAAGCUAGCAAACUUUGUACCCGAGGAUCAUGGAUGUGCAGGCUUAAAUUUAACUUGUGUCUUUCUCAUCAAUGCCUAGCCAUAACUGCAGAUGAUUCGUCCCAUGUUAAUGUGUGGUUAUACUUUUUCAUUUUGUAUUACAGCCACACAACUUUUUAAGUUGUUGCUAAAAUAUAGACCUGAGGACAAGGCUGCUAAGAAGGAAAGGCUUCUUAAAAGAGCACAAGCUGCUGAAGAGGGGAAGACUGUGGAAUCAAAGAAGCCUAUUGUCGUUAAAUAUGGUCUUAACCAUGUUACUUACCUCAUUGAGCAGGUACGGAUGUUGGUUUCCAUGGCGUUGGUGGUCAACUCUGUAAAUUAUUUAGGUUGCAUAAGAUGAUGGAUGAUUUGGUACCUUGUUUAGCUAGUUUGAUCAAUCUAUAUAGGAGUUCUGUUGUAAUUAUGGCUGUGUAGGAGAAGAUGGCUUUCAAUUUGUUUACUUUCACAUUCGUAUCUCCCACUCUUAUUCCUCUCAUUUCUUUCCGUCACUUGGCUGGUUUCUCUGUGUUGUUUUUUGUCCCUCUGUUUUUUCUUUUUUUGGUUGUCAUCAGAUGUGGAUGCUAACAACAUGCAUGCCAGAUU
Molecule: long non-coding RNA, 12973 nt
Filed under: Populus trichocarpa (black cottonwood)
Lineage: Eukaryota; Viridiplantae; Streptophyta; Magnoliopsida; Malpighiales; Salicaceae
Description: long non-coding RNA (PTRI_LNC003857)
Source: RNAcentral